GGCUGGGCCAGGGGGGGUCCUGUAUCACUGCUACGGUAAGGACGGGUCCUGGAAGGGGAAACCAAGGGGGGGAGGGUCCUGGAAGGGAAAGAAUGGGGGGGGAGGUCCUGGAAGGGGAAAGGGCAUUGAAUGGGUUGGGAAGGUCCUGGAAGGUCACAGGGAUGGGGGGGGGGGCGGGCCAGGGGGGGGUCCUGUUCACUGCUAUGGUAAGGACGGGUCCUGGAAGGGGAAAGGGGGGGGGGGAAAGGUCCUGGAAGGUCCAUAAAGAGCCUUGGAAUGGCUGGGUUGGGUUGGGAAGGUCCUGGAAGGUCACAGGGAUGGGGGGGGGCUGGGCCAGGGGGGGGUCCUGUAUCACUGCUAUGGUAAGGACAGGUCCUGGAAGGGGAAAGGGGGGGGGGAAAGGUCCUGGAAGGUCACAGGAUGGGGGGGGGGUCCUGUAUCACUGCUAUGGUAAGGACAGGUCCUGGAAGGGGAAAGGAACAGGGGGGAGGGUCUGUAAGGGGAAAGGGGCAUUGAGUGGGUUGGGAAGGUCCUGGAAGGUCCUGGAAGGUCCAUAAAGAGCAUUGGAAUGGUUGGGAAGGUCCUGGAAGGGGAAAGGAAUGGGGGGGGGAGGGUCCUGGAAGGGAGGAAAGGGGCAUUGAAUGGGUUGGGAAGGUCCUGGAAGGUCACAGGGAUGGGGGUGGGCUGGGCCAGGUGGGUCCUGUAUCACUGCUAUGGUAAGGACAGGUUCUGGAAGGUCCAUAAAGAGCCUUGGGUUGGGUUGGGUUGGGUUGGGAAGGUCCUGGAAGGGCACAAAAAAGGCUGGGGGGGGGGGGGGGUUGGGAAGGUCCUGGAAGGGUAAAGGGGCAGGGGAUGCUUCGGUUGGGUUAUAAGGGUCCUGGAAGGGUAAAGAGUCAAUGGGUUGGGUUGGGAAGGUCCUGGCAGGUCCAUAAAGAGCCUUGGAAUGGCUGUUCGGGUCCUGGCAGUCCAUAAAGAGCCUUGGAAUGGCUGUUCAUCCUGCAGAGGUGCAUAAAGAGCCUUGGAAUGCUGGGUUGGGUUGGAAGGUCCUGGAAGAUCAAUGAACCCAGGGGAUAAUGGGGUUGGGAAGGUCCUGGCAGGUCCAUAAAGAGCCUUGAAUGGCUGUUCGGGUCCUGGCAGGUCCAUAAAGAGCCUUGGAAUGGUUUGGGUUGGUUUGGGAAAGGUCCUGGCAGGUCCAUAAAGAGCCUUGGAAUGGCUGGUCAGGUCCUGGCAGGUAAAUAAACCAUGGGAUAAUGGGUAGUUGAGGUCCUGG
RNAcentral lists this long non-coding RNA (1270 nucleotides) under Coturnix japonica (Japanese quail). RNAcentral's name for it is "lncRNA (ENSCJPG00005001090.1)". The record is from RNAcentral. Lineage: Eukaryota; Metazoa; Chordata; Aves; Galliformes; Phasianidae.